Long non-coding RNA from Oncorhynchus tshawytscha (Chinook salmon), 1982 nucleotides. Lineage: Eukaryota; Metazoa; Chordata; Actinopteri; Salmoniformes; Salmonidae. The record is from Ensembl.
UCGAGCUCCCUGCCAUCCAGGACCUUUAUACCAGGCGCUGUCAGGGGAAGACUCUAGAAAUUGUCAAUGACUCCAUCCACCCAAGUCAUAGACUGCCCUCUCUGCUACCGCACGGCAAGUGGAAUUGUUGCGCCAAGUCCUGAACAGCUUCUACCCCCAAGCCAUAAGACUGCUGAACAUUUAAUCAAAUGGCUACCCAGACUAUUUUCAUUGACCCCCUUUUACUCGAACUGACUCUCUUGCACCAGCUCUAUGCACACUCACUGGACUCUAGCCACACACUCACACAUACUACACUGACACUACAACACACACAUACACACACACAAACACACAAUCACACAGAGACACACUCACACUCUUUCACAGUUGUCACAUAUGCUGCUGCUACUCUAUUUAUUAUCUAUCCUGAUUGGUCACCAACCAGUCGAUCACGGUGGACUGGUCCUAGUCGAUCGCCAAACAUUUCUAUAGAAAGCCAAUGAUAAAGGCAUAAAGGCAUAUGUUGCGUUGUUGGUAUUAGGUGCACCGGGUAGGCAAAGUGUUCCCAUUUUCAACCAUUUUAAUUUGUCUGAAAUGGAAGAUCUGUGGCUAAUCAAGUGCAUCUACUGCGCUGGCCAAUCGGAUAGCUCAAAUCACUGUGCCUACCUACAGCUUCCACAACCCCGGCCACAGCAAAGUUUGAUACUAGCCUAUGUGAGAUUUCAUAACUUUUCAAACCUUGACCAGAGAGAGACUGUCAAAGAAUACAGCAAAGAGCUGCUGUUUUCCUCAUUUUUAUUCAGUACAGUCAACACUGUUUUUAGUCUUUCGCAAAACAUGAAACGCUCUUCUCUUUACUUCCACUCGUGCUGCAAUGAAUGAGUCGCCAAGUGUAUCGAUAGCCCUGCAUUUUUAUUAUUAUUAGCAGCUUGCCGUGUCUAUUUUAAUAUCGAGGAGUAUUUUCACAACAUGAAUUUGUGUCUGUGGCAGAUGUGGUGUGACUCGAGUUUUGUCAUCAGGUGUCACCUCUCUGGUCAGUCUCACCGGAGGAAAAGAAAGAGAGAGCAGGGACCUUCAGAGGCUCUGCUGCUCUCUCCCUCCCACUGCUGAGACUAAUGCCAUGUUCAAAAUAACUCAGAACUCGGACAUCUCCGACUUACGACUUCAUCUCCCACUCCCUGCCACUGAAAAACAUCCCCACAGCAUGAUGCUGCCACCACCAUGCUUCACCGCAGGGAUGGUAUUGGUCUGGUGAUGAGCGGUGCCUGGUUUCCUUCAGACGUGAUGCUUGGCAUUCAGACCAAAGAGAUCAAUCUUGGUUUCAUCAGACCAGAGAAUCUUGUUUCUCAUGGUCUGAGAGUCCUUUAGGUGCCAUUUGGCAAAGUCCAAGCGGGCUGUCAUGUGCCUGUUACUGAAGAGUGGCUUCCAUCUGGCCACUCUACCAUAAAGGCCUGAUUGGUGGAGUGCUGCAGAGAUGGUUGUCCUUCUGGAAGUUUCUCCCAUCUCCCCAGAGGAACUCUGGCGCUCUGUCAUAGUGGCCAUCGGGUUCUUGGGCACCUCCCUGACCAAGGCCCUUCUCCCCCAAUUGCUGAGUUUGGCCGGGCGGCCAUCUCUAGGGAGAGUUUUGGUGGUUCCAAACUUCUUGCAUUUAAGAAAGAUGAAGGCUACUGUUUUCUUGGGGACUUUCAAUGCUGCAAAAAUGUUUUGGUAAUGUUCCUCAGAUCUGUGCCUCGACACAAUCCUGUCUUGGUGCUCUACGGACAAUUCCUUCAACCUAAUGUCUUGGUUUUUGCUAUGAAAUGCACUGUCAAUUGUGGGACCUUAUAUAGAUGUGUGUGCCUUUCCAAAUCAUGUCCAAUCAUUUGAAUUUACCACAGGUGGACUCCAAUCAAGUUGUAGAAACAUCUCAAGGAUAAUCAAUGGAAACAGGAUGCACCUGAGCUCAAUUUCGAGUCUCUUAGCAAAGGGUCUGGAUACCUAUGAAAAGACUGUAUUUUCUG